GACGUAGGGCGCGAGCGUUGUCCGGAUUUAUUGGGCGUAAAGAGCUCGUAGGCGGUUUGUCGCGUCUGCUGUGAAAACUGGAGGCUCAACCUCCAGCCUGCAGUGGGUACGGGCAGACUAGAGUGCGGUAGGGGAGAUUGGAAUUCCUGGUGUAGCGGUGGAAUGCGCAGAUAUCAGGAGGAACACCGAUGGCGAAGGCAGA
Molecule: ribosomal RNA, 202 nt
Filed under: uncultured bacterium
Lineage: Bacteria
Description: partial 16S ribosomal RNA
Rfam family: Bacterial small subunit ribosomal RNA
Source: RNAcentral